GGUCGGAGCCAGAUCCUUGGCGAGGAGUCCCUACCGUUNGGAAAAGACAUCCAGACCUCGCUUUCGAAAAUUUCACGCUUGGUUUUGUUUAUACAGCGAGGUUCAUCAGGGUAAUGAUUAAUAGGGAUAGUUGGGGGCAUUAAUAUUUAAUUGUCAGAGGUGAAAUUCUUGGAUUUAUGAAAGAUUAACUUCUGCGAAAGCGUUUGCCAAGGAUGUUUUCAUUAAUCAAGAACGAAAGUUAGGGGAUCGAAGACGAUCAGAUACCGUCGUAGUCUUAACCAUAAACGAUGCCGACCAGCGAUUAGGAGACGUUGAAUACAAAACCCCGCUGUUAGUCCUUUCGGGGAUUAAUAGUUGGUGAAUGACUCCCUAGCAGCUUGGGAGAAA
This 387-nucleotide ribosomal RNA is filed under the name Acanthamoeba sp. VJM-2014. RNAcentral describes it as "bacterial SSU rRNA". It matches the Rfam family "Eukaryotic small subunit ribosomal RNA", at positions 773 to 1097 of the family's 1831-position model. The record is from RNAcentral. Lineage: Eukaryota; Discosea; Longamoebia; Acanthamoebidae.